AGCAGCCGCGGUAAUUCCAGCUCCAAUAGCGUAUAUUAAAGUUGUUGCAGUUAAAAAGCUCGUAGUUGAAUUUCGGGAUCAAUAUAUCGGUCGUGCCUUCGGUACGUACUGGUAUCGUUGAUUUCUACCUUCUGACGAACCAUGAUGUCAUUAAUUUGGUGUCAUGGGAAAUCAGGACUGUUACUUUGAAAAAAUUAGAGUGUUUAAAGCAGGCACACGCUUGAAUACAUUAGCAUGGAAUAAUGAAAUAGGACGUUUGAUCCUAUUUUAUUGGUUUCUAGGGUCGACGUAAUGAUUAAUAGGGAUAGUUGGGGGCAUUAGUAUUCAAUUGUCAGAGGUGAAAUUCUUGGAUUUAUUGAAGACUAACUACUGCGAAAGCAUUUGCCAAGGAUGUUUUCAUUAAUCAAGAACGAAAGUUAGGGGAUCGAAGACGAUCAGAUACCGUCGUAGUCUUAACCAUAAACUAUGCCGACUAGGGACCGGAUGAUGUUAAUUUUUUAAUGACUCAUUCGGCGCCUUAAC
RNAcentral lists this ribosomal RNA (522 nucleotides) under uncultured fungus. RNAcentral describes it as "SSU rRNA". It matches the Rfam family "Eukaryotic small subunit ribosomal RNA", at positions 569 to 1092 of the family's 1831-position model. Lineage: Eukaryota; Fungi. The record is from RNAcentral.